GCCCACGUAGCUCAGUCGGCAGAGCGCGUCCUUGGUAAGGACGAGGUCGGCAGUUCAAUCCUGCCCGUGGGCUCCA
This 76-nucleotide transfer RNA is filed under the name Desulfovibrio sp. RNAcentral's name for it is "tRNA-Thr". It matches the Rfam family "tRNA". From Rfam's summary of the family: Transfer RNA (tRNA) molecules are approximately 80 nucleotides in length. Their secondary structure includes four short double-helical elements and three loops (D, anti-codon, and T loops). Further hydrogen bonds mediate the characteristic L-shaped molecular structure. tRNAs have two regions of fundamental functional importance: the anti-codon, which is responsible for specific mRNA codon recognition, and the 3' end, to which the tRNAs corresponding amino acid is attached (by aminoacyl-tRNA synthetases). tRNAs cope with the degeneracy of the genetic code in two manners: having more than one tRNA (with a specific anti-codon) for a particular amino acid; and 'wobble' base-pairing, i.e. permitting non-standard base-pairing at the 3rd anti-codon position. Lineage: Bacteria; Pseudomonadati; Thermodesulfobacteriota; Desulfovibrionia; Desulfovibrionales; Desulfovibrionaceae. The record is from RNAcentral.